RNAcentral lists this unclassified non-coding RNA (225 nucleotides) under Setophoma terrestris. RNAcentral's name for it is "partial contains small subunit ribosomal RNA, internal transcribed spacer 1, and 5.8S ribosomal RNA". The stretch from base 1 to 46 matches the Rfam family "Eukaryotic small subunit ribosomal RNA", at positions 1786 to 1831 of the family's 1831-position model. The record is from RNAcentral. RNAcentral also lists the same sequence under 3 other names. Lineage: Eukaryota; Fungi; Ascomycota; Dothideomycetes; Pleosporales; Phaeosphaeriaceae.
AAGUCGUAACAAGGUUUCCGUAGGUGAACCUGCGGAAGGAUCAUUAUCAAAAGUCAAGUCGGGGGCUGUAAAGCUCUCGUCUACACCCAUGUCUUUUGCGUACUCUUGUUUCCUCGGUGGCGCAAGCUGCCGAUUGGACAAACCAAAACCUUUUUUGUAAUUGCAAUCAGCGUCUGAAAAUAAUCUAAUUAUUUACAACUUUCAACAACGGAUCUCUUGGUUCUG